This 342-nucleotide ribosomal RNA is filed under the name uncultured Anaerovoracaceae bacterium. Its description in RNAcentral is "bacterial SSU rRNA". It matches the Rfam family "Bacterial small subunit ribosomal RNA", at positions 355 to 716 of the family's 1533-position model. Lineage: Bacteria; Bacillati; Bacillota; Clostridia; Peptostreptococcales; Anaerovoracaceae. The record is from RNAcentral.
UGGGGAAUAUUGCACAAUGGGCGAAAGCCUGAUGCAGCAACGCCGCGUGAGCGAUGAAGGUCUUCGGAUCGUAAAGCUCUGUCCUUGGGGAAGAUAAUGACGGUACCCUUGGAGGAAGCCCCGGCUAACUACGUGCCAGCAGCCGCGGUAAUACGUAGGGGGCAAGCGUUAUCCGGAAUUAUUGGGCGUAAAGAGUGCGUAGGUGGUUACCUAAGCAGGGGGUGAAAGGCUAUGGCUUAACCAUAGUUAGCCCCCUGAACUGGGCUACUUGAGUGCAGGAGAGGAAAGCGGAAUUCCUAGUGUAGCGGUGAAAUGCGUAGAUAUAGGAGGAACACCAGUGGC